Molecule: long non-coding RNA, 561 nt
Filed under: Gallus gallus (chicken)
Lineage: Eukaryota; Metazoa; Chordata; Aves; Galliformes; Phasianidae
Description: long non-coding RNA NONGGAT011832
Source: RNAcentral
CUGCUGGACUCCCUGCCUGCCUCGAGGAAGGCAGCAGAGCCCUACCAUCUUUAUUCCUGAUAGAGUAGACUACUUCCAGGCUGCACAAGCUGAAUGCAUAAUAGCUAUGCGUUUAUGGCUGUAAUUGCUGAUAUCGGAUGGGCUGACUCAUGCACGUUUGAAUUCUUACUGCAGAAGGAACUAUUCUAUCUGCAUGCAUAUUGAAGAAAAGGAAUCAAAACACCAUUUCAAGGCUUUAAGGUGGACUGCUUCGAAUUAGGUUUCAUCUGAAGUCGGUGGUUGUAUGUGGAGAACUGUCAACAGUCCCAAACCCAAAAAACAAGAGCAGACAGAACUCCUACUCUUCUUCCUGAAAAAACAACAACAAGAACAAAUGAGCAACAUUAUGAGGUCUUAAAGUGCAUGGAAGAUGGCUGUGAAGAUUACAUGUUUGAGCGAGGUGGCCUUUGCACCCUUCUUUGCAGGCAUGCACCAGAGUACCUAGAAGGCAGUCAAGCCCAUCAGAAGAAAAUUACCUGCUUCAGAGAAACAGAUAGAAAAGUAAUGACAGCAUUGAGAAAC